Molecule: non-coding RNA, 46 nt
Filed under: Trichobilharzia regenti
Lineage: Eukaryota; Metazoa; Platyhelminthes; Trematoda; Strigeidida; Schistosomatidae
Source: RNAcentral
GUACUGCUGAAGAGUCCCAAACAAAGACGAAACAGUUGUCCAGUAC